CUUGUACACACCGCCCGUCACACCAUGGGAGCGGGUUCUGCCAGAAAGUAGUUAGCCUAACCGCAAGGAGGGCGAUUACCACGGCAGGGUUCGUGACUGGGGUG
Molecule: ribosomal RNA, 104 nt
Filed under: uncultured bacterium
Lineage: Bacteria
Description: partial 16S ribosomal RNA
Rfam family: Bacterial small subunit ribosomal RNA
Source: RNAcentral